CAAAACGACUCUCGGCAACGGAUAUCUUGGCUCUCGCAUCGAU
RNAcentral lists this ribosomal RNA (43 nucleotides) under Pimelea longifolia. RNAcentral describes it as "partial 5.8S ribosomal RNA". Lineage: Eukaryota; Viridiplantae; Streptophyta; Magnoliopsida; Malvales; Thymelaeaceae. The record is from RNAcentral. RNAcentral also lists the same sequence under 18 other names.